RNAcentral lists this transfer RNA (90 nucleotides) under Candidatus Shapirobacteria bacterium CG10_big_fil_rev_8_21_14_0_10_48_15. RNAcentral's name for it is "tRNA-Leu". It matches the Rfam family "tRNA". From Rfam's summary of the family: Transfer RNA (tRNA) molecules are approximately 80 nucleotides in length. Their secondary structure includes four short double-helical elements and three loops (D, anti-codon, and T loops). The record is from RNAcentral. Lineage: Bacteria; Candidatus Shapironibacteriota.
GCCGAGGUGGCGAAAUUGGCAGACGCGAGAGACUUAAAAUCUCUUGGUGGCUAAUCCACUAUGCGGGUUCGACUCCCGCCCUCGGCACCA